AGGGAAUCUUGGACAAUGGGCGAAAGCCUGAUCCAGCCAUGCCGCGUGUGUGAUGAAGGCCUUAGGGUUGUAAAGCACUUUCGCCAGGGAAGAUAAUGACGGUACCUGGAUAAGAAGCCCCGGCUAACUUCGUGCCAGCAGCCGCGGUAAUACGAAGGGGGCUAGCGUUGUUCGGAAUUACUGGGCGUAAAGCGCACGUAGGCGGCAUUCCAAGUUGGAGGUGAAAUCCCCGGGCUUAACCUGGGAACUGCCUCCAAAACUGGGAAGCUCGAGUCCGAGAGAGGUGAGUGGAAUUUCCAGUGUAGAGGUGAAAUUCGUAGAUAUUGGAAAGAACACCAGUGGCGAAGUCGGCUCACUGGCUCGGUACUGACGCUGAGGAGCGACAGCGUGGGGAGCAAAC
RNAcentral lists this ribosomal RNA (400 nucleotides) under uncultured bacterium. RNAcentral's name for it is "bacterial SSU rRNA". It matches the Rfam family "Bacterial small subunit ribosomal RNA", at positions 356 to 773 of the family's 1533-position model. The record is from RNAcentral.